CCUACGGGAGGCAGCAGUGGGGGAUAUUGCACAAUGGGGGAAACCCUGAUGCAGCGACGCCGCGUGGGCGAAGAAGUAUUUCGGUAUGUAAAGCCCUAUCAGCAGGGAAGAAGAAAUGACGGUACCUGAGUAAGAAGCACCGGCUAAAUACGUGCCCGCAGCCGCGGUAAUACGUAGGGGGCAAGCGUUAUCCGGAUUUACUGGGUGUAAAGGGAGCGUAGACGGCGAUGCAAGUCUGAAGUGAAAGGCGGGGGCCCAAACCCCGGACUGCUUUGGAAACUGUAUGGCUGGAGUGCAGGAGAGGUAAGUGGAAUUCCUAGUGUAGCGGUGAAAUGCGUAGAUAUUAGGAGGAACACCAGUGGCGAAGGCGGCUUACUGGACUGUAACUGACGUUGAGGCUCGAAAGCGUGGGGAGCAAACAGGAUUAGAUACCCGGGUAGUC
This 442-nucleotide ribosomal RNA is filed under the name uncultured bacterium. Its description in RNAcentral is "partial 16S ribosomal RNA". It matches the Rfam family "Bacterial small subunit ribosomal RNA", at positions 338 to 795 of the family's 1533-position model. The record is from RNAcentral.